GACUAGACCACUUCGGCUUCCUUGUGGUUAGAGCGUCCGCUUUGGAUGCAGGAGGUCGUGGGUUCGAUCCCAGCCUAGUCA
This is a non-coding RNA of Potamilus streckersoni, 81 nucleotides long. NCBI's taxonomy places the organism in Eukaryota, Metazoa, Mollusca, Bivalvia, Unionida, Unionidae. The record is from the annotation of a GenBank genome assembly.